This 432-nucleotide ribosomal RNA is filed under the name uncultured bacterium. RNAcentral's name for it is "partial 16S ribosomal RNA". It matches the Rfam family "Bacterial small subunit ribosomal RNA", at positions 338 to 795 of the family's 1533-position model. The record is from RNAcentral.
CCUACGGGAGGCAGCAGUGGGGAAUUUUGGACAAUGGGGGCAACCCUGAUCCAGCAAUGCCGCGUGAGUGAAGAAGGCCUUCGGGUUGUAAAGCUCUUUUGUGGAACGUGCGGUACCUGAAGAAUAAGCACCGGCUAACUACGUGCCAGCAGCCGCGGUAAUACGUAGGGUGCAAGCGUUAAUCGGAAUUACUGGGCGUAAAGCGUGCGCAGGCGGUUAUGUAAGACAGAUGUGAAAUCCCCGGGCUCAACCUGGGAAUUGCAUUUGUGACUGCAUGGCUAGAGUGUGUCAGAGGGGGGUAGAAUUCCACGUGUAGCAGUGAAAUGCGUAGAUAUGUGGAGGAAUACCGAUGGCGAAGGCAGCCCCCUGGGAUAAACUGACGCUCAUGCACGAAAGCGUGGGGAGCAAACAGGAUUAGAUACCCUUGUAGUC